This 1205-nucleotide long non-coding RNA is filed under the name Sarcophilus harrisii (Tasmanian devil). RNAcentral's name for it is "lncRNA (ENSSHAG00000025130.1)". The record is from RNAcentral. Lineage: Eukaryota; Metazoa; Chordata; Mammalia; Dasyuromorphia; Dasyuridae.
AUGGCCUGGUGUUAUCUGUCGCAGUUUUAUUUUAAUCUGUUCUUGAAAACAGAAAAAAAAAAAAAAAUAAAAAUAUUUCUUUAUAAUAGGCAAUAUCUAUCUAUGCUAUGUCAAAUUACUAAUGGUUUUAAAUAACUUUCAAAUAUGCAAUUAGCUCAACCCAUUAAACACCUACUACGUUCAAGGUGUUUUAUUGGAGAAUGCUAGGAAAAUGAUCUCUUUAAGAUGCAGGCUGAAAUUAAUUUGAGAUUAGCAAAUAUUUAAACAAUGAUGAGAUUGCUCUUUUAAAUCCUGUAAUCAAAUAGUUUUAAAAUGUUGCUAAAAUAAGAAUCAAAUAUGGUAAAAUACUAGAUAGUUUAGUAAUGAAGAGUUUAUUUACAAUGUAAUUCUCUUCAGCCUGUCAGAAUAUGCUACUUCUAUUUAACACAAUUUAAGCUAGAUCCAAUGGAUGAUAAUUAUACUGGCUAAAAUUUAUAUAGUACUUACUAUAUAGCAUGCAUUGUUUCUAGUGCCUUACAAUUAUCUCAUUUGAUCCUUACCUUUCAAGGUCUGUGUUAUUAUUAUUACCCUCAUUUUACAUCUGAGAAAAACUGAAGCAAAUAAGUUAAAUUGCUAGUAAGUAUCUGCAUUUGAACUUAAAUCUUCUUUACUCCAAGCCUGGUGCUCUAUCAACUGUGCAACCUAACUUCCUUGAUGGAGCCCUAGCAUAAAAAAGAAUGCUGGGCCUGAGGUAAGAAAGACCUGAUUUCAAAUCCAAUUUCAACCAUGUACUAGCUGUAUGACCUAGGCAAGUCAUCUAGCCUCUUCCUUUUUCCUCAACUCUAAAAUGGGAAUAAUAAUAAUAGCACCUUACCAUGUGAGGAUCAAAAGGAAUAAUAUUGUAAAACUUUUAGCACAGUGCUUGACACAUCUAAGUCUUUAGUAAAUGCUUAUUAGCUAUACAGUACACAGUAGGGGCUUGAAUUCUUUUUCUCUUCCCCUCCCCUUUAUUGGAAUACCUAUUAAUUUUAUUGCCUAUUAAAUUGUGUUUUAGACUACUCUAUUCAAAUUGAAGUACAGAAGUUUCCAGUAGUUCAUAUUCCACCUUUGAUAGUCACAGAUGUCAAAAUUAGAAAACCAUUAUAAAUGCCAUAUUGAAUAUAUCUAUAGAAAUAAAACAGCAUUAUGUCUAAGGACCUGUUAAGUCCAUAACCUGUACAUUUGUU